CCACUUGGAGCACCCGCACUUCAUGGAGGUGACCCUCGCCUCCCCGCAAGGCCUCUACCUGCGAGAUGUGAUUGGUCGGCUGGACGCCGUGAGAGGGAAGGGAAUGGCAGCCAAGUAUUCCUGGUCCUGCAAGAGGAGCUACAAGACUGGAUUCGUGUGGCACGAUCUUUAUGCGGAUG
Triticum dicoccoides is the source of this 179-nucleotide long non-coding RNA. RefSeq lists it as uncharacterized. The record is from RefSeq and is a predicted model, not a curated record. NCBI's taxonomy places the organism in Eukaryota, Viridiplantae, Streptophyta, Magnoliopsida, Poales, Poaceae. The transcript has 3 exons.